This 1505-nucleotide ribosomal RNA is filed under the name Rathayibacter sp. PhB152. RNAcentral's name for it is "bacterial LSU rRNA". It matches the Rfam family "Bacterial large subunit ribosomal RNA", at positions 1443 to 2925 of the family's 2925-position model. Lineage: Bacteria; Bacillati; Actinomycetota; Actinomycetes; Micrococcales; Microbacteriaceae. The record is from RNAcentral.
CCCGUGCUGGUGCGUUUAGCGUAUUAACAGGUGUGACGCAGGAAGGUAGCCGAGCCGGGCGAUGGUUGUCCCGGUCUAAGGAUGUAGGGCGAACGAUAGGCAAAUCCGUCGUUCAUAUAGCCUGAGAUCUGAUGGGUAGACGCAAGUCGAAAUCGGUGAUCCUAUGCUGCCAAGAAAAGCAUCGACGCGAGGUUCUAGCUGCCCGUACCCCAAACCGACUCAGGUGGUCAGGUAGAGAAUACUAAGGAGAUCGAGAGAAUCGUGGUUAAGGAACUCGGCAAAAUGCCCCCGUAACUUCGGGAGAAGGGGGGCCUGAGGCGUGAACGGACUUGCUCCGGGAGCGUUCGAUGGCCGCAGAGACCAGUGGGAAGCGACUGUUUACUAAAAACACAGGUCCGUGCUAAGUCGCAAGACGAUGUAUACGGACUGACGCCUGCCCGGUGCUGGAAGGUUAAGAGGAACGGUUAGCCGCAAGGCGAAGCUGAGAAUUUAAGCCCCAGUAAACGGCGGUGGUAACUAUAACCAUCCUAAGGUAGCGAAAUUCCUUGUCGGGUAAGUUCCGACCUGCACGAAUGGCGUAACGACUUCCCAGCUGUCUCAACCGCGAACUCGGCGAAAUUGCAUUACGAGUAAAGAUGCUCGUUACGCGCAGCAGGACGGAAAGACCCCGUGACCUUUACUAUAGUUUGGUAUUGGUGUUCGGUGUGGCUUGUGUAGGAUAGGUGGGAGACUGUGAAGCGGGCACGCUAGUGUUCGUGGAGUCAUUGUUGAAAUACCACUCUGGUCACUCUGGAUAUCUAACUUCGGACCCUAAUCGGGUUCAGGGACAGUGCCUGAUGGGUAGUUUAACUGGGGCGGUUGCCUCCUAAAGAGUAACGGAGGCGCCCAAAGGUUCCCUCAACCUGGUUGGCAAUCAGGUGUCGAGUGUAAGUGCACAAGGGAGCUUGACUGUGAGACUGACAAGUCGAGCAGGGACGAAAGUCGGGACUAGUGAUCCGGCAGUGGCUUGUGGAAGCGCUGUCGCUCAACGGAUAAAAGGUACCUCGGGGAUAACAGGCUGAUCUUGCCCAAGAGUCCAUAUCGACGGCAUGGUUUGGCACCUCGAUGUCGGCUCGUCGCAUCCUGGGGCUGGAGUAGGUCCCAAGGGUUGGGCUGUUCGCCCAUUAAAGCGGUACGCGAGCUGGGUUUAGAACGUCGUGAGACAGUUCGGUCCCUAUCCGCUGCGCGCGCAGGAAAUUUGAGAAGAUCUAUCCCUAGUACGAGAGGACCGGGAUGGACGAACCUCUGGUGUGUCAGUUGUUCCGCCAGGAGCACCGCUGAUUAGCUACGUUCGGAACGGAUAACCGCUGAAAGCAUCUAAGCGGGAAGCCGGCUUCGAGAUGAGAUUUCCAUCCCUUCGGGGGAGAGGCUCCCAGCCAGACGACUGGGUUGAUAGGCCGGAUGUGGAAGACAGGACUAAAGACUGUCGGAGCUGACCGGUACUAAUAAGCCGAUAACUUGAUAAU